CCUGCAACUCCACCACCAGCAUCUCCUCCUCCCGCAACUCCGCCACCAGCAUCUCCUCCUCCUGCUACUCCACCACCAGCAACUCCUCCUCCAGCUGCUCCACCUGCUCUGGUUCCAGCUCCUGCUCCAAGCAAGAAGAAGUUGAAGGCUCCAGCUCCAUCUCCCUUGGCGCCAAGUCCACCAGCGCCACCCACGGAGGCACCCACGCCCAGUUUGGGUUCAAUCUCUCCAGCACCAGCAGGCACAGAUGUGAGUGGAGUAGAAAAGCUGAUUUCAAUGCAGAAGAUUGUUGGGAGCUUGAUGUUUGGAUGGACAAUUUUCUGGUGGCUACUUUAGACAAGAUUCUCAGAUCUCUCAGCUUUGUUAUUAUUAUUAUUUUUUUUUGAAUUUAUGUUGUUACAUUUUGGCUAUAUAUUAUAUAUAGUAGUGGCUGCCAUUUUAGCCUUCGCUCGGUGAUGAGACGUUUAUUAUCUGUAUUUGAUUUUGAGCUUAUACAUACAUUCGGUUGAAUUCUUUGGGAGAUUUUGGGGACAGCUUUUGUAUUGAUGGGGAGAGGACUUGUUUUAUAUUUUGGAUUGCUGUUAGUAAGCUACCUCUUGAUCUCAUUUAUUAUAUUUUUUUUUU
This 624-nucleotide unclassified non-coding RNA is filed under the name Hevea brasiliensis (rubber tree). The record is from RNAcentral. Lineage: Eukaryota; Viridiplantae; Streptophyta; Magnoliopsida; Malpighiales; Euphorbiaceae.